Molecule: ribosomal RNA, 911 nt
Filed under: uncultured bacterium
Lineage: Bacteria
Description: bacterial SSU rRNA
Rfam family: Bacterial small subunit ribosomal RNA
Source: RNAcentral
AUACAAUCUACCUUAUACAGGAGGAUAGCCCUAAGAAAUUGGGAUUAAUACUCCAUAGUAAUUUGAAUUCGCAUGAAUUUAAGUUUAAAACUUCGGUGGUAUAAGAUGAGUAUGCGUGAUAUUAGCUAGUUGGUAAGGUAACGGCUUACCAAGGCGACGAUAUCUAGGGGGCCUGAGAGGGUUAUCCCCCACACUGGUACUGAGACACGGACCAGACUCCUACGGGAGGCAGCAGUGAGGAAUAUUGGUCAGUGGAGGCAACUCUGAACCAGCCAUGCCGCGUGAAGGAAGAAUGUCCUAUGGAUUGUAAACUUCUUUUAUUUGGGAAGAAACCUACCCACGUGUGGGUAGCUGACGGUACCAAAAGAAUAAGGACCGGCUAACUCCGUGCCAGCAGCCGCGGUAAUACGGAGGGUCCAAGCGUUAUCCGGAAUCAUUGGGUUUAAAGGGUUCGCAGGCGGUUUAUUAAGUCAGUGGUGAAAUCUCGGGGCUCAACUCCGAAACUGCCAUUGAUACUGAUAGACUUGAAUAUAGUUGGAGUAGGCGGAAUGUGUAGUGUAGCGGUGAAAUGCUUAGAUAUUACACAGAACACCGAUAGCGAAGCAGCUUACUAAACUAUGAUUGACGCUCAUGAACGAAAGCGUGGGGAGCGAACAGGAUUAGAUACCCUGGUAGUCCACGCCGUAAACUAUGAUUACUCGAUAUUGGCGAUACACAGUCAGUGUCUAAGCGAAAGUGAUAAGUAAUCCACCUGGGGAGUACGGUCGCAAGAUUGAAACUCAAAGGAAUUGACGGGGGCCCGCACAAGCGUGGAGCAUGUGGUUUAAUUCGAUGAUACGCGAGGAACCUUACCAGGGCUUAAAUGUAGUUUGACAGGACUGGAAACAGUUUUUUCUUCGGACAAAUUACAA